Molecule: long non-coding RNA, 1057 nt
Organism: Physella acuta
Lineage: Eukaryota; Metazoa; Mollusca; Gastropoda; Physidae
Source: RefSeq, a predicted model, not a curated record
UACUGAAACAACUCGACGGUCUGCUCUGAACACAUUACAACCAGCAUUGGUCAAAGAUGGCGUCAACCACAUCAAAAAUAUUCCUGGCGGUUUUGUUGCUGACAUGCGUGUCCUGGACACAGGCCCAGUGCAAAGCUUAUGACGAGGUUGAUAUUCUUUUCCGCAAAGCACCAUCUAACAGGCAUUGCUCUUACCUAUGUAUCGAUGAGUAUAAAUGUUUCUUCUAUCAACAUCACCGGGACGGUAGUUGCUACUUGUUUGUAUCGGACGGAAAAGUGGUAAAUGUAGACGAGAAUGUAUAUCACGAUAGCACUAUAGCAUGUAGAGAUAGAAGCAGAUGUGCUGGUUAUUGUGAAGAUUUUAACUUUCCCGUGGAAGUAAAAAAUCACAAGGAGUGCUUUACGACCUGCCUCAAUACAAAGAGAUGUUGGAACUAUGUCUUCGACCCAUCCGAUGGUUCUUGUCUGAUCCGAACUAAAGGCGGACUUCCAACCAACCAUGAUUAUAAUGUUAACAACAACUUUUGGUCACACGUUGCUUGUAAUUACUAAGCAGCGUUUCUUUCAGGCAUAUUCCACGGAACAAGAUAUACAUUUACAGCGUUCUCUACCGACAUCCCCCCCCCUCCCUCACCGAAAAUUUGAGUGAGCCACUCCCCCUUUCGAGCAGAAUGUUCCGAACGAAACAUUAUGUAUAACUAGUUUAUACAUUUUUUCCAUAACAAAAUUAUGCUUUAGAUCAGUAGAUUAAUACCAUUUAGCACAUCUUUAUCACUAAUUUUAGUUUCGUUUAAGGUGUUCAUUGUUUUUCAAGUGCUUUUUAUUUUGGCUACAUUAGGAAAUACAAAAUCAAUGUAAGCAUAUUUUAAAUUGCCUUUUAAAAAAUUAAAGUAUUAAUUCAACUUUAAACUAAAUAUACUAUAAAAGAUACACAACAAAUAUAAGUGAAUCCGAUAUAAAUGAUGCGAAUUUUCAUGAUCUUGUAUUUGAUAUAGCUUGUAUUUCUGGGUUUAUUUUCGUAAAUUAGAAAAUCACUUUGCAAAUAUUUUGGUCAUUGU